Long non-coding RNA from Panicum virgatum (switchgrass), 387 nucleotides. RefSeq lists it as uncharacterized. Lineage: Eukaryota; Viridiplantae; Streptophyta; Magnoliopsida; Poales; Poaceae. The transcript has 2 exons. The record is from RefSeq and is a predicted model, not a curated record.
ACGCAUGUACGUAUAUGUUCAGGAUGCGCACAAACACUCUACUAGCUUAUAUUUCUUCUUCUUUGUUCUUGCUGUUGACUAUGAUGACGAAAUCGGCGCCCUCGUCAAGAUAUUGAUAAUUUGUUGAAAUCAAUUCUUUCUGUCAGAGCCGAUGCACGCUGAGCAGGACCGCUGAGCCCACAACACUAGAUCGGCAACACUCUUCCAGUAUCGGCGUCUCCGUAACGUCGCCGAUAAUGCUGUCACCAUUGUCGUCACAUCCGGAGCAGCGCGCCGAUUUGGUCGCCGAAUAUCUAGACGAUUUGUUGCGGGCGAAGUGAUCGGCACAGUCGUGAAGAGGCAUCGCGUACCUCAGGCCGAUCAGUAUGGCAUCAUUUUGUUCCAUGA